CCGUAGGUGAACCUGCGGAAGGAUCAUUAACGAAUCAAACAAGUUCAUCUUGUUCUGAUCCUGUGCACCUUAUGUAGUCCCAAAGCCUUCACGGGCGGCGGUUGACUACGUCUACCUCACACCUUAAAGUAUGUUAACGAAUGUAAUCAUGGUCUUGACAGACCCUAAAAAGUUAAUACAACUUUCGACAACGGAUCUCUUGGCUCUCGCAUCGAUGAAGAACGCAGCGAAAUGCGAUAAGUAAUGUGAAUUGCAGAAUUCAGUGAAUCAUCGAAUCUUUGAACGCACCUUGCGCCCUUUGGUAUUCCGAGGGGCAUGCCUGUUUGAGUGUCAUUAAAUACCAUCAACCCUCUUUUGACUUCGGUCUCGAGAGUGGCUUGGAAGUGGAGGUCUGCUGGAGCCUAACGGAGCCAGCUCCUCUUAAAUGUAUUAGCGGAUUUCCCUUGCGGGAUCGCGUCUCCGAUGUGAUAAUUUCUACGUCGUUGACCAUCUCGGGGCUGACCUAGUCAGUUUCAAUAGGAGUCUGCUUCUAACCGUCUC
RNAcentral lists this ribosomal RNA (540 nucleotides) under Schizophyllum sp. AX15. RNAcentral's name for it is "eukaryotic LSU rRNA". The stretch from base 180 to 333 matches the Rfam family "5.8S ribosomal RNA". Lineage: Eukaryota; Fungi; Basidiomycota; Agaricomycetes; Agaricales; Schizophyllaceae. The record is from RNAcentral.